Molecule: ribosomal RNA, 253 nt
Filed under: uncultured bacterium
Lineage: Bacteria
Description: partial 16S ribosomal RNA
Rfam family: Bacterial small subunit ribosomal RNA
Source: RNAcentral
UACGUAGGCAGCAAGCGUUGUUCGGAAUUACUGGGCGUAAAGAGUGUGUAGGCGGUUUUCUAAGUUCGGUGUGAAAUCUCCCGGCUUAACUGGGAGGGUGCGCCGGAAACUGGAGGACUGGAGUGCCGGAGAGGAUAGCGGAAUUCCUGGUGUAGCGGUGGAAUGCGUAGAGAUCCGGAAGAACACCGGAGGCGAAGGCGGCUUGCUGGGCGUGAUCUGACGCUGAGGCGCGAAAGCGUGGGGAGCGAACAGG